RNAcentral lists this ribosomal RNA (522 nucleotides) under Pagurus heblingi. Its description in RNAcentral is "partial 16S ribosomal RNA". It matches the Rfam family "Bacterial large subunit ribosomal RNA", at positions 1833 to 2606 of the family's 2925-position model. The record is from RNAcentral. Lineage: Eukaryota; Metazoa; Arthropoda; Malacostraca; Decapoda; Paguridae.
CUAUAUGGAGGUAUAUAUAGUUUAACCUGCUCACUGAUUAAAUUAAAGAGCCGCAGUAUCCUGACUGUGCGAAGGUAGCAUAAUAGAUUGUCUUUUAAAUGGAGGCUUGAAUGAACGGUUGGAUAAAGUAUCAUCUGUUUCUUAAAUAAAUAUUGAAUUUGACUUUUAAGUGAAAAGGCUUAAAUAAUUUAAAAAGACGAUAAGACCCUAUAAAUCUUUACAAAAAAUUUACUUUAAAUUUUAAAUUUUAAAUACAUAAGAUAUAAAAUAAACUUUUGUUAUGCUGGGGCGGCAUAGAUAUAUAAAAAACUGUUUAUAAUAUUAAAUCAAUUAUAUUUGAUUAAUAAUAUUUGAUCCUUUAAUAGAUUAAAAGAUUAAGAUACUUUAGGGAUAACAGCGUUAUUUUUUCUGAGAGUUCCUAUCGAAGAAAGAGUUUGCGACCUCGAUGUUGAAUUAAAAUUCUUUAAUGGUGUAGCAGCUAUAUAAAGGAGUCUGUUCGACUUUUAAUAUUUUACAUGAUUU